This 498-nucleotide ribosomal RNA is filed under the name uncultured bacterium. RNAcentral's name for it is "partial 16S ribosomal RNA". It matches the Rfam family "Bacterial small subunit ribosomal RNA", at positions 29 to 523 of the family's 1533-position model. The record is from RNAcentral.
AUUGAACGCUGGCGGCAUGCCUUACACAUGCAAGUCGAACGGUAACAGGUCUUCGGAUGCUGACGAGUGGCGAACGGGUGAGUAAUACAUCGGAACGUGCCCAAUCGUGGGGGAUAACGCAGCGAAAGCUGUGCUAAUACCGCAUAAGAUCUACGGAUGAAAGCGGGGGAUCGCAAGACCUCGCGCGAAUGGAGCGGCCGAUGGCAGAUUAGGUAGUUGGCGGGGUAAAAGCCCACCAAGCCGACGAUCUGUAGCUGGUCUGAGAGGACGACCAGCCACACUGGGACUGAGACACGGCCCAGACUCCUACGGGAGGCAGCAGUGGGGAAUUUUGGACAAUGGGCGCAAGCCUGAUCCAGCAAUGCCGCGUGCAGGAAGAAGGCCUUCGGGUUGUAAACUGCUUUUGUACGGGGCGAAAAGGUCUCCUCUAAUACAGGGGGCUCAUGACGGUACCGUAAGAAUAAGCACCGGCUAACUACGUGCCAGCAGCCGCGGUAA